This 869-nucleotide ribosomal RNA is filed under the name uncultured Limnohabitans sp. RNAcentral describes it as "bacterial SSU rRNA". It matches the Rfam family "Bacterial small subunit ribosomal RNA", at positions 8 to 878 of the family's 1533-position model. The record is from RNAcentral. Lineage: Bacteria; Pseudomonadati; Pseudomonadota; Betaproteobacteria; Burkholderiales; Comamonadaceae.
AGAGUUUGAUCAUGGCUCAGAUUGAACGCUGGCGGAAUGCUUACACAUGCAAGUCGAACGGUAGAGGGGGCAACCCCUCGAGAGUGGCGAACGGGUGAGUAAUAUAUCGGAACGUGCCCAGUCGUGGGGGAUAACGUAGCGAAAGUUACGCCAAUACCGCAUACGAUCUAAGGAUGAAAGCGGGGGAUCGCAAGACCUCGCGCGAUUGGAGCGGCCGAUAUCAGAUUAGGUAGUUGGUGGGGUAAAGGCUCACCAAGCCAACGAUCUGUAGCUGGUCUGAGAGGACGACCAGCCACACUGGAACUGAGACACGGUCCAGACUCCUACGGGAGGCAGCAGUGGGGAAUUUUGGACAAUGGACGCAAGUCUGAUCCAGCCAUUCCGCGUGCAGGAUGAAGGCCCUCGGGUUGUAAACUGCUUUUGUACGGAACGAAAAGGUUUCUAUUAAUACUAGGAGCUCAUGACGGUACCGUAAGAAUAAGCACCGGCUAACUACGUGCCAGCAGCCGCGGUAAUACGUAGGGUGCAAGCGUUAAUCGGAAUUACUGGGCGUAAAGCGUGCGCAGGCGGUUAUGUAAGACAGAGGUGAAAUCCCCGGGCUCAACCUGGGAACUGCCUUUGUGACUGCAUAGCUAGAGUACGGUAGAGGGGGAUGGAAUUCCGCGUGUAGCAGUGAAAUGCGUAGAUAUGCGGAGGAACACCGAUGGCGAAGGCAAUCCCCUGGACCUGUACUGACGCUCAUGCACGAAAGCGUGGGGAGCAAACAGGAUUAGAUACCCUGGUAGUCCACGCCCUAAACGAUGUCAACUGGUUGUUGGGUCUUCACUGACUCAGUAACGAAGCUAACGCGUGAAGUUGACCGCCUGGGG